Molecule: ribosomal RNA, 332 nt
Filed under: Enterococcus faecalis
Lineage: Bacteria; Bacillati; Bacillota; Bacilli; Lactobacillales; Enterococcaceae
Description: bacterial SSU rRNA
Rfam family: Bacterial small subunit ribosomal RNA
Source: RNAcentral
UUACCUGGCUCACACGUGCUACAAUGGGAAGUACAACGAAGUCGCUAGACCGCGAGGUCAUGCAAAUCUCUUAAAGCUUCUCUCAGUUCGGAUUGCAGGCUGCAACUCGCCUGCAUGAAGCCGGAAUCGCUAGUAAUCGCGGAUCAGCACGCCGCGGUGAAUACGUUCCCGGGCCUUGUACACACCGCCCGUCACACCACGAGAGUUUGUAACACCCGAAGUCGGUGAGGUAACCUUUUUGGAGCCAGCCGCCUAAGGUGGGAUAGAUGAUUGGGGUGAAGUCGUAACAAGGUAGCCGUAUCGGAAGGUGCGGUUGGAUCACACUCUAAAUA